CUCUGCCUACUUGUGAUCUCUGUCAAAUAAAUAAAUAAAAUCUUAAAAAAAAAAAACAAAAACAAUGACAACAACAAUGAAAAGAUCUAGUGGAAAAGGUGAACAGCAUGCAUAAACAGAUGCGAAGUUUAGGGAGGGAACAAGAAACCACAAAAGAACAAAGUCUAACUGGAAAUUCCAGAAUUGCGCUAAAAAGAAAAAUAUGGUAUCUGAGAGGAAAUGUUCUUUUGAUGAAGUUAUUGGCAGACUGGACCCAGGAGAGGAACGUUAACUCGGUGAUGGGGCAAGAGAAAUUCCGCAAACCGGAAAGCGAAAAUGAGAGUAAAAAUUCAUCGUGCAGGCUUCCUAGAUUUGUUAAGACAGUUGAAGCCCGGUGCCAGACACAUGCUGGUCAGAACUAUCAGUCCUUCUCGUACCUGACAAAAACGCAUUUCACUGCUAAGGUGCACCAGGUGGUGUUCUUAGUGAGGGAUUGCCUGGUGAGCCAAAGGACAAAGGUUCCUGCCCUGUGGAGCACACACCUGAGACGUGAGACCACUGUGGUCCGGGAUCGGGCAUCCCCCUGAAGCUACCCUCAAGGUCAAGCAGCACUCCAGGACUGGAGCUCGGUGAUCUCUACCUCCCCUGGCCCUCAGAGGCUCUCUAGGCCACACUGAGCUUCCCGUAAUGUCCUUUGCACCCAAUUCCAAUGAGCAUUUGUGUCUACCCUGUUCGACAUUGGGUGUCCCUCAGGAGGAAACUCACAGACCAUUUGAGGAGAAAUUUGGGGAACUGAAACCUCUAACCUCUCUGGGCUCUUCCCCCAUUCUGUCUACAUUGACCGUCUUGUCUCAUCACAAGUUAAAAGCCAAGGUUUACGGGGUACGAGUUACAAAUGCUUGACAGCAUUUCUCAGUAAUGUCCCAUGUCCACAGAUAAAAGAAUUCUAGGGACAUAGGUUCUGGAAAUUCUAUGUGAGACCUUCUCCUUGUGAAGCUUUGCACUUCACAUAAAAGAAUCUAACUCAGGCAAAAAAGAAAAAGUGUAUUAAACUUCAUCUGAUCUGGUUCUUCAGACUUCUUUAACAGCAUACCCCCUUUUUUUUCAAAGUUCCUGUUUGCAUAUCUUUCAGUUACCAUCCUGUGUGUUACAUCAGAAUCCUCAGUCGAGCUAGUCUAAACAACUAAAAUAGUACGCUGGCUUUUGUGACUGAUACGUCUUGAAGUCACAAGGGCCUCAGUUAUAGUUACAUCAAGGCUUAGCUCUGUUGCCAGGGAUCACUAUUCCCUCCUCUGGGCCUUUGUCAGCUUCCUUGUCUGACUUUCCUCAUAGCAACAAAAUGGCAGCCAUAGUUCUGGGCAUCCCAUCCGCAUACCUGCUUCACAGAGGAGGAGAAGCCUUCUCUCCUCCCCAUGCUGGACUGUAUAUUCUGGGCCUGCUUAGUCCAAGUGCUCAUCCCUGAGCCAAUCCCCAGGCAAGAGGAAUGGGUCUUGAAAGCCCACCCCAAGAAUGAAGUCAUCGUGUUUUCUACAAAGCCUGUGGCAAUGUCCUCUCUCUAGAAACACUCAUCCCACCUGCCCCUACCCCCUUUCUUCCUGCUAAGAUCCCAAGGAUGGUUAGGCCUCUUCCUGAAUCCUGGAUGUAUAUCAUGAUUUGUAGAGCCAUGUAAUUCUCUUCGCUAGCAGUUGGUUCAGAAAUAGCUGUGAGACUUGGUUCUAGCUGAUUAGAUACAAGCAAAACUCUGCUGGGUGGGGCUUCUAGGAAAACCUUUGCCUUUCUGACGAGAAGAACAGACCUGACUGGCCGGCCCCUUUGCCUCAUUACCAUUCCUUCUUCAUCAAACCCAGAAGGAGGAUUGAUACCUCAGAGGCAUGGCAGCCAUCUUGGGACCAUGAGGCAGCAACUGUGAAGACUAACGCCACCAUGCCAGAGAUGCUGGAACAGAUGGACCGGUCCCAAGGCCUACAUAGCAUCACCAGGCAGCUGCACACACGCUGGUCUAUUUUCAGUACAAAAUUAGAAAUUCAUAUUUGUUUAAGCCAAAGGCAUUUCUCACUGACACAAGGCCGAGUCUUUUUUUUUUUGCAAACUACGACUUGUGUAGGCACAGAGAUACAGCCUGGAAGGCACAGUUCAAGUUUCGGUGAAUCCCUAAGACUUCUUAAAUACAUUCCGCCCCCUGGAUGUUUGUGAGAAAGCAGAUUAUCCAGCCUUUAUCCACUCCAGCAGAGGGCCGAGUACUCCCUGUCUGUGUGGGACGUCAGGAGUCACAUGUCGGAUGGCAGGCCGCAGAAUACAGCCACUGGCUUUUCUGCGUCCCAGGGUUGUUCUGGGGCUGGUUUCAGGGGCCAGUAGCAGUGGCAACGUGAAAGCCCAUUCUUUACCCCAGAUACCAGUUGGGGUUCAGAAAAGUCUCCCUAGAGCCUUCAACUUAUUCCCCCUUCCAUCCCAGUCACGCUGGGAUCUCUCCUGAGAAAAAACGCAAAAAUGAGAAAAGGGAAAACCUAAAAACAUAAGCUUUAUCAUCACAGCCAGAUAGACCGUAGCCAAAAAAAAAAAAAAAAAAAGAACAGAUCCAAAUGUUCUAUCACAAGAGAAGGAUUAAGAAAGUGUUUGAUGGAAUAUUACGCGGAUGUGAAAAUGAUGUUUACAAAUCUGGUAAUACUAAAGGGAAAUAGGCACAAUAUUUGUUACUAAGAAAGCCGACCACAACCUCUUAUAUAUAUGGCUUGAUCUCAAGUAUACAAAAAUUUUACCAGGGACGAAAGAAAUACACUGAGAUGUUAACAGCGGCGGUGCCUGGUUGGAAUCGUUACGGGUACUUUCGGGGGUUAUUUUUCCUGCUGUUCUAUAUUUUCCCAUUUGCCUGUAUGUGCUACUUUUGUAAGCAGAAAGAACAAAACUGGCUUCUCUUUUUAAAGCUUCCAGGACCCUCCACUGCGUGAGAUCGCUGCUGUCAUCUCCCCUCCUGUAAAGCUGAUAAUGCAGGGCUUCCUAGACCAGGUGACCCUUCCUGCACUGGGGCCAAAAUAAAAACAAGCUUCCCAACCUGGCAUACUUGAUUAAUAGCUUGGAAUUCUUUCAACAGGCAAAGGGAGUGGUAGGGAAAGGGGAAAAUCAACACCCUAUUUUUAAAUGCUGACGUAAGCUUACAGGAACUAAAGACAAGAGGAGGUACGCACCAUUCCAGGCCUUAUGCAAAUGUAUGCAAAUGAGACGCGGUCCCUGGCUUAGUGAGAAUUCUGGGCCUGAGCUCCCACCUGGAUUCCUGGGUCUCGCUGAGCUGGGAGAGGAAGAGAGGAGGGAGGGGACGGAAUAGCG
This 3300-nucleotide long non-coding RNA is filed under the name Mustela putorius furo (domestic ferret). RNAcentral's name for it is "lncRNA (ENSMPUG00000026347.1)". The record is from RNAcentral. Lineage: Eukaryota; Metazoa; Chordata; Mammalia; Carnivora; Mustelidae.